Molecule: ribosomal RNA, 407 nt
Filed under: uncultured bacterium
Lineage: Bacteria
Description: partial 16S ribosomal RNA
Rfam family: Bacterial small subunit ribosomal RNA
Source: RNAcentral
AUUGAACGCUGGCGGCGGGCCUAACACAUGCAAGUCGAGCGGAGGAGCGGACGGGGGAGUGAUGCCUAGGAAUCUGACUGGGAGUGGGGGAUAACGACCGGAAAAGGGCGCUAAUACCGAAUACUUGCAGAUGAGCAUAGGUCGGAUUAGCUAGUUGGUGGGGUAAAGGCCUACCGAGGCGACGGUCCAUAACUGGUCUGUGGGGAUGCUCAGUCACACUGGAACUGAGACACGGUCCAGACUCCUACGGGAGGCCGCAGUGGGGAAUAUUGGACAAUGGGCGCAAGCCUGAUGCAGCCAUGCCGCGUGUGUGACGAAGGUCUUCGGAUUGUAAAGCACUUUAAGCUGGGAGGCGUUACCAACAGAAGAAGCACCGGCUAACUUCGUGCCAGCCGCCGCGGUAAUUC